This 517-nucleotide ribosomal RNA is filed under the name uncultured Planctomycetota bacterium. Its description in RNAcentral is "bacterial SSU rRNA". It matches the Rfam family "Bacterial small subunit ribosomal RNA", at positions 372 to 896 of the family's 1533-position model. The record is from RNAcentral. Lineage: Bacteria; Pseudomonadati; Planctomycetota.
UGAGCGCAAGCUUGACCGAGCGACGCCGCGUGUGCGACGAAGGCCUUCGGGUUGUAAAGCACUGGUCGAGGGGGAGGAAAGCCGCAAGGUCUGACCUAUCCCUGGAGGAAGCACGGGCUAAGUUCGUGCCAGCAGCCGCGGUAAGACGAACCGUGCGAACGUUGUUCGGAAUCACUGGGCUUAAAGGGCGCGUAGGCGGGCGAUCAAGUCAGGAGUGAAAUCUUUCGGCUCAACCGGAAAAGUGCCCCUGAUACUGGCCGUCUCGAGGGAGGCAGGGGCAUGUGGAACUUCUGGUGGAGCGGUGAAAUGCGUAGAUAUCAGAAGGAACGCCGGUGGCGAAAGCGACGUGCUGGACCUCUUCUGACGCUGAGGCGCGAAAGCUAGGGGAGCAAACGGGAUUAGAUACCCCGGUAGUCCUAGCCCUAAACGAUGGGUACUAGGUUGUGGACUUGACAUGGGUUCCCAGCCGAAGCAAAAGUGUUAAGUACCCCGCCUGGGAAGUAUGGUCGCAAGGCUG